UUUUUAGUUUCACCCUUCCCUUUUCUCUUAGUCCUCCUUCCCCUUACAACUGAUGCUGGGUAAUUCUUCUAUCAAGCAAAAGGCCAGUAUCUUGCUCUUGAAGCAGCAUUCUGCAUCCUACAGCCUGCUCCACGACUUCCAUUUGUCAGUGCAGUGUUGGCAACGCAACACACAGUGAUAAAAUAUUUUUUUGUUUCGAACCCUAUUUCUCAUUUCCUGCCCCACCCCCACCCCCAUGGGAAACAGGAUGGACUGCUUGCUGAUCACUAAGAGACAACACUUCAGGACCAACCCAUGAAAAGAACAUUCGUACUACAACUUGAAUUUAGAGGACAAUAACGACAGUUUGUAGUAGUCCAAUGGCAGCAAUGAAACCCUCAACAACCAUCAAAUUGGAUCACUGAUGAGGCAAAAAGAUCAUUGGGUCCUCAUUCCUGGGCUAUCCUGCACUGCAUGAUCUGUGAAUAUUUAUCCUUUUUGAGAAGCACAGGAAUUUUGAUUUCCCUGACCAUCCAUCCUCCAUUGGGCUCCAAUGUUUAAAGGGUUGUGCUUUAUGGUACUGCAAAUUUAAGUGGAUAUAGCACGUGUUGACAUGGCAGAGGAAGAAUGAGCCAAGAUGUUAUCAUCUGAGAAGAAAAACAGAAAAAAGAAGAGGGUCUAAUGUCGAACUUCAAAGAACUCCAACAUUUAACAGCAAAAUAAAGUACGUAAAUCAAGUGGAAGAGAGAGGGACUGAGACAUAAGAAGAGUAAGAGGAAAACUGAGUUCACAUUGUGCCACUGGGACUAAAGAGAAUGCUUCUAGAAGGCAGUGGCCAUUGCUGUCUAAUGCUGAGAAGAAACAAAGCAAAAGAAAGUCUGAAGUAUGUUCACUAGAAUUAAGGACCUUAAGUUCACUGAAGUGUCUAGUCAGAUCUUCCAUGAAACAGAGGUCCUAUGCGGAGUAACUCUUUUGGUAAUACUUGCCACAAUCAACUAAACUUUGUUCCUGUGAUUUUUUUGACUUUGUAGCUUCACCAAUAAACUUUAAACUCCCAGAAUGCAGGGACUGCAUUCAAAAUAUCUGUAUUAUUACUAAAAGUUACUAAACCAACAUUAUUAUUCCUUACGAUGGUAUAAAUCAUCAUUAUGUAAGUAGUUUUUCCUUGAUAUUUAGGGACAACUUUCUAACUUCAUUAAGUUUACCCCCCCAAAUCUUUUUAUUUAUGUUGCAAUGUUGUUUUAUACAUAAUGUUUUCUUU
This is a long non-coding RNA of Talpa occidentalis (Iberian mole), 1240 nucleotides long. RefSeq lists it as uncharacterized. The transcript is spliced from 6 exons. The record is from RefSeq and is a predicted model, not a curated record. NCBI's taxonomy places the organism in Eukaryota, Metazoa, Chordata, Mammalia, Eulipotyphla, Talpidae.